This 1364-nucleotide long non-coding RNA is filed under the name Salvator merianae (Argentine black and white tegu). RNAcentral describes it as "lncRNA (ENSSMRG00000001402.1)". The record is from RNAcentral. Lineage: Eukaryota; Metazoa; Chordata; Lepidosauria; Squamata; Teiidae.
UGGCCUUUCAUCAUAUUUAUUUCUUCUCUCUUUGUUGAAUGGAGGUCCCCCAAUGCAACGCAGCAGGGGCCAAAAAGAAGCCUGGAAUCAGCAACAANUGCUGGAGGUUUCUUGGCCCCCGGAGAAGCGGCUUGUCCUUCCACAGAAGGGGAGGCCAUUUUGCGAAGAAGCAGCGCCAGUUGCGGCAACGUCCCAUAUUGAAGUGAAGCCGUACAGUUCAACGCAGCAGGAGGGAAGAGAUUUCUCGGCCCCUGGAGAGCAGCUUUUCCUUCCACCGGAAGGGGAGGCCAUUUCGUCAAGAAGCAGGGCCAGAAGUGGUAUGAAGCUACCUCUCCCAUCUGUGGUAAGGGGGAGCAUAUGGUAAGGAUCCUGAAUUUCUACCGUCUGAAGACCGUACAGUCAGGACACAAGAUCCACGUAAGCAACAAAUUUAAUAAGCUUUUCAUUUUAACCGAAGGGCAGGGUUUUCAAAGUGCACUUAAGUUUCCUCAGCUGAAACGAUCCCUGCCUUGCCUGGGAAGUGGCACCUAUCAUGUCCUGCCCCCCAAGCCCUUAGAGACCUUCGAGGGGAAAAAGGGACUUGGAAGGCUUCUAAUGCACAUUUCCGUCCCUUCUGGAGUUGCCUCCUGACUCAACACUCCAGGGUGUUUGGGGCAGCCCUCUAGGAGGGGACCGAAAGCUUGAUAAAAGUGAGUNCUUUACCCACCCAAACCUGGGGGUAUNAGGAGCCCUUUAUCCACCCAGACCUGGGGGUAUCAGGAGCCCACCACCUGAGACUGAACACAAAGAUGUGUAGAGAGGAAAUGGGUGGGGAGUCCUACUGGAGGGCAGAAAAGGGAACCGGCCAGCCCCACGCAGCCUCCUCUGGGGCACAGCAAUGCAGGUCACAUGCGCAGAGACAAAGCGAUUGCAAGGCCACAAUUCCCCCUGGCCAUGCGCUCUUGGUGGGUGGAGAAGCAAUGUUCCUGAGAAAGCAUCACCACAAUGAACUGGAGGGAAGACAGUCCUGGCCUGCUGGUGGGGGUUGGGAACUGGGCUGUGGUUCUCCAUUCAGCUUUGACAUCUACUAACCUGGCUUUUCAUCUCAAGAAAUAAGAAGUAGUAUGGACCGCAGUGGAGCUCGGAGAGGUUAGGGCCAUACCCUUGCAUAUUUUGACUUUCAAGGGUCCAUCAUCUCAUUUUUCUCUUUCCUUCAUUAUAUUGAGUAGAAGCUCACCAGAAGACACNGGAAAGAAACACGAAAUCAGCCACAAGCACUGGAGACUUCACGGUCCCUGGAGAAGCGCCUUUUCAUUCCAGAGGAAGGAGAGGCCAUUUUGUCCAGGAAGCUGUGUCAACUGCUGUAGAGUCCAGCAUGAGAAGAC